RNAcentral lists this ribosomal RNA (441 nucleotides) under uncultured bacterium. RNAcentral's name for it is "partial 16S ribosomal RNA". It matches the Rfam family "Bacterial small subunit ribosomal RNA", at positions 338 to 795 of the family's 1533-position model. The record is from RNAcentral.
CCUUCGGGUGGCAGCAGUGGGGAAUAUUGCACAAUGGGGGAAACCCUGAUGCAGCAACGCCGCGUGAAGGAAGACGGUUUUCGGAUUGUAAACUUCUGUUCUUAGUGAAGAAUAAUGACGGUACCUGACUAAGAAGCCCCGGCUAACUACGUGCCAGCAGCCGCGGUAAUACGUAGGGGGCAAGCGUUAUCCGGAUUUACUGGGUGUAAAGGGAGCGUAGACGGCAGAGCAAGUCUGAAGUGAAAGCCCGCGGCCCAACUGCGGGACUGCUUUGGAAACUGCCCGGCUAGAGUGCUGGAGAGGUAAGCGGAAUUCCUAGGGUAGCGGUGAAAUGCGUAGAUAUUAGGAGGAACACCAGUGGCGAAGGCGGCUUACUGGACAGUAACUGACGUUGAGGCUCGAAAGCGUGGGGAGCAAACAGGAUUAGAUACCCUUGUAGUC